UAAUACGGAGGGUGCGAGCGUUGUCCGGAAUCACUGGGCGUAAAGGGCGCGUAGGCGGCGCGGGAAGUCCGUGGUGAAAGCCCGAGGCUCAACUUCGGGUCGGCCAUGGAUACUCCUGGGCUCGAGCACUGUAGAGGCAGGUGGAAUUCCGGGUGUAGCGGUGGAAUGCGUAGAGAUCCGGAAGAACACCGGUGGCGAAGGCGGCCUGCUGGGCAGUAGCUGACGCUGAGGCGCGACAGCGUGGGGAGCAAACAGGAUUAGAUACCCUGGUAGUCCACGCCGUAAACGAUGGGCACUAGGUGCUUGGGGGAGCGACCCUCUGAGUGCCGGCGCUAACGCAUUAAGUGCCCCGCCUGGGGAGUACGGCCGCAAGGCUG
Molecule: ribosomal RNA, 377 nt
Filed under: uncultured bacterium
Lineage: Bacteria
Description: bacterial SSU rRNA
Rfam family: Bacterial small subunit ribosomal RNA
Source: RNAcentral